AUUGAACGCUGGCGGAAUGCUUAACACAUGCAAGUCGAGCGAGCUGUAGCAAUACAGCUAGCGGCGGACGGGUGAGGAAUACAUAGGAAUCUGCCUCAGAGCGGGGGAUAGCCCGGGGAAACUCGGAGUAAUACCGCAUGAUGUCGCAAGACCAAAGUGGGGGACCGCAAGGCCCCACACUCUGAGAUGAGCCUAUGUCUGAUUAGCUAGUUGGCGGGGUAAUGGCCCACCAAGGCGACGAUCAGUAGCUGGUCGGAGAGGACGAUCAGCCACACCGGAACUGAGACACGGUCCGGACUCCUACGGGAGGCAGCAGUGGGGAAUAUUGGACAAUGGGCGCAAGCCUGAUCCAGCAAUUCCGCGUGGGUGAAGAAGGCCUUCGGGUUGUAAAGCCCUUUAAGUUGGGACAAAAAAAUCGGCGAUAACAUCGCCGGUCUUGAUGGUACCGACAGAAUAAGCAACGGCUAACUCCGUGCCAGCAGCCGCCGUAA
RNAcentral lists this ribosomal RNA (491 nucleotides) under uncultured bacterium. RNAcentral describes it as "partial 16S ribosomal RNA". It matches the Rfam family "Bacterial small subunit ribosomal RNA", at positions 29 to 523 of the family's 1533-position model. The record is from RNAcentral.